AUUAAAGUUGUUGCAGUUAAAAAGCUCGUAGUUGGACUUGUGUGCGCUGUCCGCGGGUGGCCUGCGCCCAAAAGGGCGUUUCGGUUCGGCCCCGGUGGCGCCUUGAAAUCUGCAGCUGGGGGGACGUUGGCCUUAACUGGUCGGCGACCGCACGCCGGCUGCUCGGUUACUGUGAGAAAAUUAGAGUGUUCAAGGCAGGCAUUGGGUGCAAUUGAAUACAUUAGCAUGGAAUAAUAAAAUAUGGCUCCUGCCGUAUUUUGUUGGUUUUGACUGGUGGGAGUAAUGAUUGAUAGGGACGGUUGGGGGUGCUAGUAUUGAGCGGCCAGAGGUGAAAUUCAUGGAUUCGCUCAAGACUAACUUAUGCGAAAGCAUUCACCAAGGACGUCCUCUUUAAUCAAGAACGAAAGUUGGGGGAUCGAAGACGAUCAGAUACCGUCGUAGUCUCAACCAUAAACUAUGUCGACUUGGGGUCGGCGGUAGUUUUUUCAUUAAGACACUGUCGGGACCACGGGAGAAAUCAAAGUGUCUGGACUCUGGGGGAAGUAUGGUCGCGAGGCUGAAACUUGAAGGAAUUGACGGAAGGGCACCACCAGGAGUGGAGCCUGCGGCUUAAUUUGACCCAACACGGGGAAACUUACCAGGUCCAGAGAUGUAGAGGAUUGACAGAUUGAAGCUCUUUCUUGAUCACUUCGGUGGUGGUGCAUGGCCGUUCUUAGUUGGUGGAGUGAUUUGUCUGGCUAAUUCCGUUAACGAACGAGACCUCAGCCUGCUAGUGUAGUCGGCUGGAUUGCCUUUGGCGAUCCGUGAUUUCGACUUCUUAGAGGGACAAUCGACGCGCAGUCGAUGGAAGUUUGAGGCAAUAACAGGUCUGUGAUGCCCUUAGAUGUUCUGGGCCGCACGCGCGCUACACUGCUGGGCUCGGCGAGUUUUACUUGGCCGAGAGGCCCGGUUAAUCUUGUGAAAUCCCAGCGUGCUUGGGCUCGCCUCCUGCAACUGGAGGCGCCAACGAGGAAUUCCUAGUAGACGCAGGUCAUCAACCUGCAUCGAUUACGUCCCUGCCCUUUGUACACACCGCCCGUCGUUCCAUAAGAGUGAGGCAUCCGGUGAAUUCUCGGAGAGCCUGGGCGUGGCCAGCAAUGGUCUGCUCGGGUUUGAAGUUGCAUAAACUUGGUGCCUAUGAUUAGGGAAAAGUCGUAACAAGGUUUCCGUAGGUGACCUGCGGAAG
Molecule: ribosomal RNA, 1225 nt
Filed under: metagenome
Description: SSU rRNA
Rfam family: Eukaryotic small subunit ribosomal RNA
Source: RNAcentral